UGAUCGAAGCUAGGGAGACGUGUCUCCCUAGAACCACACCAUAAUUACUUUGUCAACAUACUAAUAUUAAAACUUUCAACAACGGAUCUCUUGGUUCUCGCAUCGAUGAAGAACGCAGCGAAAUGCGAUAAGUAAUAUGAAUUGCAGACUUUGUGAAUCAUCGAAUCUUUGAACGCACAUUGCGCCUUGUGGUAUUCCACAAGGCAUGCUUGUUUGAGCGUCAGACCCUCUCUAACAAUUUGUUAGGCAUUGGGAGCGCACCGCACUCCCUAAAAACUACGCAGUAUGUCUAGGAUUACCCAUCAUACGCGCGCCAACUUAUGACCUCAAAUCAAGUAGGACUACCCGCUGAACUUAAGCAUAUCAAUAAGCGGAGGA
Molecule: ribosomal RNA, 378 nt
Filed under: [Candida] sp. EN13M07
Lineage: Eukaryota; Fungi; Ascomycota; Saccharomycetes; Saccharomycetales
Description: eukaryotic LSU rRNA
Rfam family: 5.8S ribosomal RNA (bases 71-223)
Source: RNAcentral